UUUCAUCAGGCCUUGAACUUGAUGUGUGCGUGUUCGAUCCUUGGCCAUGUAUUUCUUCAAAUUUCAGUUGAAUUUUUCACAUUUACCUGGCGCACAUAGGUUCGAUCCCUGGCGUGCGCACUUUUCUGAUUUCCAAUUGCAUUUUUCCAUUUACCAUAAGUGCAUGUGUUCGAAUCUGCUUGAGUGCAUAUGCUGAUUUACUUCAAUUUUUGUUUUC
This 217-nucleotide long non-coding RNA is filed under the name Lathyrus oleraceus (garden pea). RNAcentral's name for it is "Pisum sativum (pea) long non-coding RNA (PSAT_LNC016138)". The record is from RNAcentral. Lineage: Eukaryota; Viridiplantae; Streptophyta; Magnoliopsida; Fabales; Fabaceae.